UACGGAGGAGGCAAGCGUUAUCCGGAUUUACUGGGCGUAAAGAGCGCGCAGGCGGCCAAGUCAGUCGAAUGUGAAAGCCCCCGGCUUAACUGGGGAGGGUCAUUCGAUACUGCUCGGCUCGAAGACAGGAGAGGGAAGUGGAAUUCCCGGUGUAGUGGUGAAAUGCGUAGAUAUCGGGAGGAACACCAGUGGCGAAGGCGACUUUCUGGCCUGUUCUUGACGCUGAGGCGCGAAAGCUAGGGGAGCAAACGGG
RNAcentral lists this ribosomal RNA (253 nucleotides) under uncultured bacterium. RNAcentral's name for it is "partial 16S ribosomal RNA". It matches the Rfam family "Bacterial small subunit ribosomal RNA", at positions 524 to 776 of the family's 1533-position model. The record is from RNAcentral.